AUGCAACAUGAAACCUCUGAUAGUCCUUUCUGCGGGGAGGAUAGUCCAGUAUUCCUUGAACAAAUCAUACGUGGUACAUUUGAUGGUCCUUAUGCUCAUAUUGGUGUUGCCUUGGAAAUUAGCAUCCAGUGCACCAAUUUAGUGGAUCCGUUAGUCUGUGGAGCGAUUCAGUUUGGCUAUCUAGAAGAUGAUAUAGAAACAAAGUAUCAAAAGCCAAUCCAUCAAAUAAUUAAUUUUAAAACCUCCACAAUCUGCAAAAUGGACAAAAGUAUGAAAAUACCAAUGAAAUAUUAUCUAACUACUAAAAAUUAUCUAUCAAAAGAAAUAUUAACUAUCUUAGAAUCUUUCAGUUAUAAUGUGCGUACAACAAUUGCUAUUAGAAAACAUCCUACAACAUUACUGAUAUUAUUAUUUCAGAAUGCCCUAAGACAGUCCGUAACUCAUUAUGAAGAUUAUCGCUAA
RNAcentral lists this ribosomal RNA (462 nucleotides) under Triticum aestivum (bread wheat). RNAcentral's name for it is "partial small subunit ribosomal RNA". Lineage: Eukaryota; Viridiplantae; Streptophyta; Magnoliopsida; Poales; Poaceae. The record is from RNAcentral.